Molecule: ribosomal RNA, 431 nt
Filed under: uncultured Chloroflexota bacterium
Lineage: Bacteria; Bacillati; Chloroflexota
Description: bacterial SSU rRNA
Rfam family: Bacterial small subunit ribosomal RNA
Source: RNAcentral
GGUUUAAUUCGAUGCAACGCGCAGAACCUUACCAGGGUUUGACAUGCGAGUAGUAGAACUUGGAAACAGGGACGAACUGUUGAGUCAGUAACUCGCACAGGUGCUGCAUGGCUGUCGUCAGCUCGUGCCCGUGAGGUGUUGGGUUAAGUCCCGCAACGAGCGCAACCCCUGUCCCUAGUUGUAUCGCCCUAGGGAGACUGCCGAGACAAACUCGGAGGAAGGCGGGGAUGACGUCAAGUCAGCAUGGCCCUUACGUCCUGGGCUACACACACGCUACAAUGGACGGUACAAAGGGUCGCAAGACCGCAAGGUGGAGCUAAUCUCACAAAACCGUCCUCAGUUCGGAUUGGGGGCUGCAACCCGCCCCCAUGAAGUCGGAGUUGCUAGUAACCGCCGGUCAGCACACGGCGGUGAAUAUGUUCCCGGGCCUU